Molecule: ribosomal RNA, 879 nt
Filed under: uncultured bacterium
Lineage: Bacteria
Description: bacterial SSU rRNA
Rfam family: Bacterial small subunit ribosomal RNA
Source: RNAcentral
AGAUUGAACGCUGGCGGCAGGCUUAACACAUGCAAGUCGAGCGGUAACAUUUCUAGCUUGCUAGAAGAUGACGAGCGGCGGACGGGUGAGUAAUGCUUGGGAAUAUGCCUUAUGGUGGGGGACAACAGUUGGAAACGACUGCUAAUACCGCAUAACGUCUACGGACCAAAGGGGGGGAUCUUCGGACCUCUCGCCAUUUGAUUAGCCCAAGUGAGAUUAGCUAGUAGGUGAGGUAAAGGCUCACCUAGGCGACGAUCUCUAGCUGGUUUGAGAGGAUGAUCAGCCACACUGGGACUGAGACACGGCCCAGACUCCUACGGGAGGCAGCAGUGGGGAAUAUUGCACAAUGGGCGAAAGCCUGAUGCAGCCAUGCCGCGUGUGUGAAGAAGGCCUUCGGGUUGUAAAGCACUUUCAGUUGUGAGGAAAGGUGGUAGUUUAAUAUGCUAUCACUGUGACGUUAACAACAGAAGAAGCACCGGCUAACUUCGUGCCAGCAGCCGCGGUAAUACGAGGGGUGCAAGCGUUAAUCGGAAUUACUGGGCGUAAAGCGUUCGUAGGCGGUCUAUUAAGCAAGAUGUGAAAGCCCAGGGCUCAACCUUGGAACUGCAUUUUGAACUGGUAGACUAGAGUACUGUAGAGGGUGGUGGAAUUUCCAGUGUAGCGGUGAAAUGCGUAGAGAUUGGAAGGAACAUCAGUGGCGAAGGCGGCCACCUGGACAGAUACUGACGCUGAGGAACGAAAGCGUGGGGAGCGAACAGGAUUAGAUACCCUGGUAGUCCACGCCGUAAACGAUGUCAACUAGCCGUUUGUGGACUUGAUCCGUGAGUGGCGCAGCUAACGCACUAAGUUGACCGCCUGGGGAGUACGGCCGCAAGGUUA